This 237-nucleotide ribosomal RNA is filed under the name uncultured bacterium. Its description in RNAcentral is "partial 16S ribosomal RNA". It matches the Rfam family "Bacterial small subunit ribosomal RNA", at positions 118 to 347 of the family's 1533-position model. The record is from RNAcentral.
UGGGCAACCUGCCCCUCUCUCUGGGAUAACCCCCGGGGAAACCGGAGCUAAUACCGGAUACUCCGGCUGGAUCGCAUGGUCCGGCCGGGAAAGGUCCGCCGGAGAGGGAUGGGCCCGCGGCCUAUCAGCUUUGUUGGUGGGGUCAUGGCUCACCAAGGCGACGACGGGUAGCUGGUCUGAGAGGACGACCAGCCCACACGUGGAACUGAGAUACGGUCCAGACUCCGUACGGGAGCA